RNAcentral lists this transfer RNA (85 nucleotides) under Bacteroidota bacterium. Its description in RNAcentral is "Bacteroidetes bacterium tRNA-Leu". It matches the Rfam family "tRNA". From Rfam's summary of the family: Transfer RNA (tRNA) molecules are approximately 80 nucleotides in length. Their secondary structure includes four short double-helical elements and three loops (D, anti-codon, and T loops). The record is from RNAcentral. Lineage: Bacteria; Pseudomonadati; Bacteroidota. RNAcentral also lists the same sequence under 1 other name.
GCCGAAGUGGCGGAACGGUAGACGCAUCGGACUUAAAAUCCGCUGGGGCACCCGCCCCGUACGGGUUCGAAUCCCGUCUUCGGCA